GACCAUUUUCUGACACCNGAGGCACGAAAGCGUGGGGAGCGAACCGGAUUAGAUACCCGGGUAGUCCACGCCGUAAACGAUGGAUACUAGCUGUUGGGGGUAUCGACCCCCCCAGUAGCGAAGCUAACGCGUUAAGUAUCCCGCCUGUGGAGUACGGUCGCAAGACUAAAACAUAAAGGAAUUGACGGGGACCCGCACAAGCGGUGGAUUGUGUUCUUUAAUUCGAUGAUAAACGGAGAACCUUACCAGGGUUUGACAUCCCGAGAAUUUUGCCGAAAGGCGAGAGUGCUUUAUUGAACUCGGUGACAGGUGAUGCAUGGCCGUCGUCAGCUCGUGUCGUGAGAUGUUUGGUUAAGUCCAUCAACGAGCGCAACCCUUGUGAUUAGUUGUAUUUUUCUAAUCAGACUGCCCCGGUAACGGGGAGGAAGGAGGGGAUGAUGUCAGGUCAGUAUUUCCCUUACAUCCUGGGCUAGAAACGCAAUACAAUGGCCAGUACAAUGUGCAGCGAAGCCGCGAGGUGAAGCAAAUCACAUCAAAACUGGUCCCAGUUCAGAUAAGAGGCUGAAACUCGCCUCUUUGAAGUCGGAAUCGCUAGUAAUCGCGGAUCAGCAAGCUGCGGUGAAUACGUUCCCGGGUCUUGUACACACCGCCCGU
Molecule: ribosomal RNA, 654 nt
Filed under: uncultured bacterium
Lineage: Bacteria
Description: bacterial SSU rRNA
Rfam family: Bacterial small subunit ribosomal RNA
Source: RNAcentral